UAUUUCCCGAUUUUAAGAGGAGUUAAUGGUUUAUUUUAGUUACUGUUUUAUUAGUAUUAAUAAUAUAUUGUUGGUAGUGAAAUGUUAUUCGUCUUUGUUGGUAUCUGGUUUUCUGAGAAAUGAAUUUAAUUCAUGCGUCUUAUUAUAGAUUUAUUAUUUUUUUAUUAGGUUUUAAUAUGUCGUUAAGAUUGAGGGGGAUUAGCUCCUUUUUUUAUUUAUUAUAAUUUUGCUUUGUUUUUAAUUUUUGUUGAUUUUAUAGUGAUUUUCUAUUUGAUUAUGUUAAAAUUUUAUUUAUCUUUUGUUUUAUUUAUUUAUUGUUUAAUUUUUUAUUGGAAUGUUAUUUUUAAUUUUUGUUGUUUUGUAAUUAUUGUGUAAUUAGUAAAUUUGGUUUUUAUUAUGUCUAAUUGGUUUUGAUAAUUUCUUUUGAGGAAUUAGGCAAAUAUUGUUGUGUCCGCCUGUUUAACAAAAACAUCUUUUCUUGUUAGUUUUUGAAGUAUGGCCUGCCCACUGAGUGUUUUGAAGGCCCGCGGUAUUUUGACCGUGCAAAGGUAGCAUAAUCAUUAGUUCUUUAAUUGUGAUCUGGAAUGAAUGGCUUGACGAGAUGCAAACUGUCUUAGGUUUGGAGAAAUUUUAGUUGAAUUUGGUUUCUGGGUUAAAAUACUCAGAUUUUUUUAUGGGACGAGAAGACCCUAUAGAGUUUUACACUUUUAUUUAUUGUUAUUAUUUAGUUUGGUUUUGUUUUUAAAUAAGUUUAUGUGUUUUGUUGGGGUGAUGGGAAGAAUUUGUUUAACUCUUCUUUAUUUUAUAUACAUUUAUGUGUGUUAUUGUGAU
Molecule: ribosomal RNA, 831 nt
Filed under: Schedorhinotermes sarawakensis
Lineage: Eukaryota; Metazoa; Arthropoda; Insecta; Blattodea; Rhinotermitidae
Description: partial 16S ribosomal RNA
Source: RNAcentral